RNAcentral lists this ribosomal RNA (504 nucleotides) under uncultured bacterium. RNAcentral's name for it is "partial 16S ribosomal RNA". It matches the Rfam family "Bacterial small subunit ribosomal RNA", at positions 28 to 523 of the family's 1533-position model. The record is from RNAcentral.
GAUGAACGCUAGCUACAGGCUUAACACAUGCAAGUCGAGGGGCAGCAUAAAUCUAGCAAUAGAUUUGAUGGCGACCGGCGCACGGGUGAGUAACACGUAUCCAACCUACCUAUUACUCGGGUAUAGCCUUUCGAAAGAAAGAUUAAUCCCCGAUACGAUACAAAAGCUGCAUGGUUUUUAUAUGAAAGAUUUAUUGGUAUUAGAUGGGGAUGCGUUCCAUUAGAUAGUUGGUGAGGUAACGGCUCACCAAGUCUUCGAUGGAUAGGGGUUCUGAGAGGAAGGUCCCCCACACUGGAACUGAGACACGGUCCAGACUCCUACGGGAGGCAGCAGUGAGGAAUAUCGGUCAAUGGGCGAGAGCUUGAACCAGCCAAGUAGCGUGAGGGAUGACUGCCCUAUGGGUUGUAAACCUCUUUUAUAAGGGAAUAAAACGCUCCACGUGUGGAGCUUUGCAUGUACCUUUUGAAUAAGGAUCGGCUAACUCCGUGCCAGCAGCCGCCGUAA